RNAcentral lists this non-coding RNA (24 nucleotides) under Cricetulus griseus (Chinese hamster). The record is from RNAcentral. Lineage: Eukaryota; Metazoa; Chordata; Mammalia; Rodentia; Cricetidae.
UCCCUUUCAAAUGUAAUCCUGUAC